AGUGAACGCUGGCGGUAGGCCUAACACAUGCAAGUCGAACGGCAGCACAGUAAGAGCUUGCUCUUACGGGUGGCGAGUGGCGGACGGGUGAGGAAUACAUCGGAAUCUACUUUUUCGUGGGGGAUAACGUAGGGAAACUUACGCUAAUACCGCAUACGACCUACGGGUGAAAGCAGGGGAUCUUCGGACCUUGCGCGAUUGAAUGAGCCGAUGUCGGAUUAGCUAGUUGGCGGGGUAAAGGCCCACCAAGGCGACGAUCCGUAGCUGGUCUGAGAGGAUGAUCAGCCACACUGAAACUGGGACACGGUCCAGACUCCUACGGGAGGCAGCAGUGGGGAAUAUUGGACAAUGGGCGCAAGCCUGAUCCAGCCAUACCGCGUGGGUGAAGAAGGCCUUCGGGUUGUAAAGCCCUUUUGUUGGGAAAGAAAAGCAGCAGGUUAAUACCCCGCUGUUCUGACGGUACCCAAAGAAUAAGCACCGGCUAACUUCG
This 490-nucleotide ribosomal RNA is filed under the name uncultured bacterium. Its description in RNAcentral is "partial 16S ribosomal RNA". It matches the Rfam family "Bacterial small subunit ribosomal RNA", at positions 29 to 505 of the family's 1533-position model. The record is from RNAcentral.